This is a non-coding RNA of Podarcis lilfordi (Lilford's wall lizard), 70 nucleotides long. NCBI's taxonomy places the organism in Eukaryota, Metazoa, Chordata, Lepidosauria, Squamata, Lacertidae. The record is from the annotation of a GenBank genome assembly.
GCUGUAGCUCAGUGGUUGGAGCAUCCACUCUCCAUACAGAAGGUCAUGGGUUCUAAUCCCAGCAUCUCCA